Molecule: ribosomal RNA, 661 nt
Filed under: Cellulosimicrobium cellulans
Lineage: Bacteria; Bacillati; Actinomycetota; Actinomycetes; Micrococcales; Promicromonosporaceae
Description: bacterial SSU rRNA
Rfam family: Bacterial small subunit ribosomal RNA
Source: RNAcentral
CUUGCUGGGUGGAUUAGUGGCGAACGGGUGAGUAACACGUGAGUAACCUGCCCUUGACUUCGGGAUAACUCCGGGAAACCGGGGCUAAUACUGGAUAUGAGCCGUCCUCGCAUGGGGGUGGUUGGAAAGUUUUUCGGUCAGGGAUGGGCUCGCGGCCUAUCAGCUUGUUGGUGGGGUGAUGGCCUACCAAGGCGACGACGGGUAGCCGGCCUGAGAGGGCGACCGGCCACACUGGGACUGAGACACGGCCCAGACUCCUACGGGAGGCAGCAGUGGGGAAUAUUGCACAAUGGGCGCAAGCCUGAUGCAGCGACGCCGCGUGAGGGAUGAAGGCCUUCGGGUUGUAAACCUCUUUCAGCAGGGAAGAAGCGCAAGUGACGGUACCUGCAGAAGAAGCGCCGGCUAACUACGUGCCAGCAGCCGCGGUAAUACGUAGGGCGCAAGCGUUGUCCGGAAUUAUUGGGCGUAAAGAGCUCGUAGGCGGUUUGUCGCGUCUGGUGUGAAAACUCGAGGCUCAACCUCGAGCUUGCAUCGGGUACGGGCAGACUAGAGUGCGGUAGGGGAGACUGGAAUUCCUGGUGUAGCGGUGGAAUGCGCAGAUAUCAGGAGGAACACCGAUGGCGAAGGCAGGUCUCUGGGCCGCAACUGACGCUGAGGAGCG